Molecule: small nuclear RNA, 190 nt
Organism: Octodon degus (degu)
Lineage: Eukaryota; Metazoa; Chordata; Mammalia; Rodentia; Octodontidae
Gene: U2
Rfam family: U2 spliceosomal RNA
About the family: U2 is a small nuclear RNA (snRNA) component of the spliceosome (involved in pre-mRNA splicing).
Source: Ensembl
AUCAUUUCUCAGCGUUUAGGCUAAGACUAUUUGUAGUAUCUGUUCUUAUCAGCUUAAUAACUAAUAUGUCCUCUAUCAAAGGACAAUACAAAAAAUGGAUUUUUGGAGCUGGAAGGUGAAAUAGGAGUUUUCUCUGUCCACUCUCACAUCGACAUGGUAUUGCAGUACCUCCAGGAAUGGAGCACACACU